RNAcentral lists this long non-coding RNA (683 nucleotides) under Equus caballus (horse). RNAcentral's name for it is "lncRNA (ENSECAG00000043266.2)". The record is from RNAcentral. Lineage: Eukaryota; Metazoa; Chordata; Mammalia; Perissodactyla; Equidae.
CAGCACACAGGCAUGUGAAAGUGGCAGGGGGAGCCUUUUAGGUAAUGUCUAGGAAUAGCUGGCUUCAAUUCGAGAUUUUGUGGAAAGAGCAAAGUGGGGGAUAGAAAUUUCUGGAAAGGGCAACGGGAUGUGAGCAGAAGUGAGGUAAGCAACAUUUGGCUUACUUCCUGAAAGAUAAUUUCCUUCUACAGACUUUCUUCGUUCUCCAGUGUAGAGAUACAGCAACAGCUGGCAUAGCUGGAACCUUGGAGCAAGAGACGGCAGCUCGUCGCUGAGUUCAGCAGUGUCCACUUGCCUGACUGAAAGCCUGGAUUAUCUCAGGAAUCAGAGCCAUUUGCCAGGAAUUCAGCUUCUCGCAUUCCAGUUGUUUUGAAGUCCGAAUUCCAGUUUCCUUGUCUCCAGUGCUGUGAAAUUGCCAAAUGCUCUGCUGGUUUCUAUGCCUGUUAGCAGCAUUUCCCUGCCUACAGCUUUGGCCUCUCACCUUGUGGACAAACUGAAAAAUUCCCAGAGAAGAGUGGCUCUUAGAGUGGCCUUAUGUAUCUCUGAGGUUUCCUUCUCUCCAGAACCUUGAUUCUUCAAUUUCUGGUUGUUUUGGCAGCUCCCCAGUGUAUUCAAAUGGCUUACUCCAAUUUCUCUAUUUGUUCUCAAGCUGGCUUAUUGGUCUGCUGCAAGCUACUAUGUAA